CCUACGGGAGACAGCAGUGAGGAAUAUUGGUCAAUGGACGGGAGCCUGAACCAGCCAAGUCGCGUGAGGGAUGAAGGUACUGAGUAUUGUAAACCUCUUUUGUCAGGGGACAAAGGCGGCCACGGGUGGCCGUAAGCGGGUACCUGGUGAAUAAGCAUCGGCUAACUCCGUGCCAGCAGCCGCGGUAAUACGGAGGAUGCGAGCGUUAUCCGGAUUUAUUGGGUUUAAAGGGUGCGCAGGGGGCGUGUCAAGUCAGCGGGAAAAUGUCGGGGCUCAACCCCGGCCGGCCGUUGAAACUGGCGUGCUCGAGUAGAAGAGAAGUAGGCGGAAUUCGUGGUGGAGCGGUGAAAUGCAUAGAUAUCACGAAGAACCCCGAUUGCGAAGGCAGCAUAC
Molecule: ribosomal RNA, 393 nt
Filed under: uncultured bacterium
Lineage: Bacteria
Description: partial 16S ribosomal RNA
Rfam family: Bacterial small subunit ribosomal RNA
Source: RNAcentral